AGAGUAUAUAGUGAUGGAGGGACGCAGUAGGCUAACUAAACCGGACGAUUGGAAGAGUCCGGCUAAGCAGUGAGGUGUAAGAUGAGUCAAAUGCUUAUCUUUAUAACAUUGAGCUGUGAUGGGGAGCGAAUUUUAGUAGCGAAGUUAGUGAUGUCACACUGCCAAGAAAAGCUUCUAGCGUUUAAUGAUACUCUACCCGUACCGCAAACCGACACAGGUAGUCGAGGCGAGUAGCCUCAGGUGAUCGAGAGAACUCUCGUUAAGGAACUCGGCAAAAUGACCCCGUAACUUCGGGAGAAGGGGUGCUGACUUAGGUCAGCCGCAGUGAAUAGGCCCAAGCAACUGUUUAUCAAAAACACAGCUCUCUGCUAAAUCGUAAGAUGAUGUAUAGGGGGUGACGCCUGCCCGGUGCUGGAAGGUUAAGAGGAGGGUUUAGCGCAAGCGAAGAUCUGAAUUGAAGCCCCAGUAAACGGCGGCCGUAACUAU
RNAcentral lists this ribosomal RNA (486 nucleotides) under Escherichia coli. Its description in RNAcentral is "bacterial LSU rRNA". It matches the Rfam family "Bacterial large subunit ribosomal RNA", at positions 1446 to 1943 of the family's 2925-position model. Lineage: Bacteria; Pseudomonadati; Pseudomonadota; Gammaproteobacteria; Enterobacterales; Enterobacteriaceae. The record is from RNAcentral.